Molecule: ribosomal RNA, 302 nt
Filed under: uncultured bacterium
Lineage: Bacteria
Description: bacterial SSU rRNA
Rfam family: Bacterial small subunit ribosomal RNA
Source: RNAcentral
CGAACGGGUGAGUAAAGCAUCGGAACGUAUCCUAUAGUGGGGGAUAACCUAGGCGAAAGGGCUAGGCUAAUACCGCAUACGCCCUGAGGGGAAAGUGGGGGGAACUCGCAAGAGCCUUACGCUAUUGGAGCGGCCGAUGUCGGAUCAGCUAGUUGGUGAGGUAACGGCUCACCAAGGCGAUGACGCAUAGCCGGACUGAGAGGUUGGCCGGCCACAUUGGGACUGAGACACUGCCCAGACUCCUACGGGGGGCUGCAGUAACGAAUCUUCCGCAAUGCACGAAAGUGUGACGGAGCGACGCC